RNAcentral lists this ribosomal RNA (1420 nucleotides) under uncultured organism. RNAcentral describes it as "SSU rRNA". It matches the Rfam family "Bacterial small subunit ribosomal RNA". The record is from RNAcentral.
ACAUGCAAGUCGAGGGGCAUCAGGAAGCUUUUAGAGUUCUUUGCUGGCGACCGGCGCACGGGUGAGUAACACGUAUCCAACCUGCCCUUUACUCGGGGAUAGCCUUUCGAAAGAAAGAUUAAUACCCGAUGGCAUAAUGAUUCCGCAUGGUUUCAUUAUUAAAGGAUUCCGGUAAAGGAUGGGGAUGCGUUCCAUUAGGUUGUUGGUGAGGUAACGGCUCACCAAGCCUUCGAUGGAUAGGGGUUCUGAGAGGAAGGUCCCCCACAUUGGAACUGAGACACGGUCCAAACUCCUACGGGAGGCAGCAGUGAGGAAUAUUGGUCAAUGGGCGCUAGCCUGAACCAGCCAAGUAGCGUGAAGGAUGAAGGCUCUAUGGGUCGUAAACUUCUUUUAUAUAAGAAUAAAGUGCAGUAUGUAUACUGUUUUGUAUGUAUUAUAUGAAUAAGGAUCGGCUAACUCCGUGCCAGCAGCCGCGGUAAUACGGAGGAUCCGAGCGUUAUCCGGAUUUAUUGGGUUUAAAGGGAGCGUAGGUGGACUGGUAAGUCAGUUGUGAAAGUUUGCGGCUCAACCGUAAAAUUGCAGUUGAUACUGUCAGUCUUGAGUACAGUAGAGGUGGGCGGAAUUCGUGGUGUAGCGGUGAAAUGCUUAGAUAUCACGAAGAACUCCGAUUGCGAAGGCAGCUCACUGGACUGCAACUGACACUGAUGCUCGAAAGUGUGGGUAUCAAACAGGAUUAGAUACCCUGGUAGUCCACACAGUAAACGAUGAAUACUCGCUGUUUGCGAUAUACAGUAAGCGGCCAAGCGAAAGCAUUAAGUAUUCCACCUGGGGAGUACGCCGGCAACGGUGAAACUCAAAGGAAUUGACGGGGGCCCGCACAAGCGGAGGAACAUGUGGUUUAAUUCGAUGAUACGCGAGGAACCUUACCCGGGCUUAAAUUGCAGUGGAAUGAUGUGGAAACAUGUCAGUGAGCAAUCACCGCUGUGAAGGUGCUGCAUGGUUGUCGUCAGCUCGUGCCGUGAGGUGUCGGCUUAAGUGCCAUAACGAGCGCAACCCUUAUCUUUAGUUACUAACAGGUUAUGCUGAGGACUCUAGAGAGACUGCCGUCGUAAGAUGUGAGGAAGGUGGGGAUGACGUCAAAUCAGCACGGCCCUUACGUCCGGGGCUACACACGUGUUACAAUGGGGGGUACAGAAGGCAGCUAGCGGGUGACCGUAUGCUAAUCCCAAAAGCCUCUCUCAGUUCGGAUCGAAGUCUGCAACCCGACUUCGUGAAGCUGGAUUCGCUAGUAAUCGCGCAUCAGCCACGGCGCGGUGAAUACGUUCCCGGGCCUUGUACACACCGCCCGUCAAGCCAUGGGAGCCGGGGGUACCUGAAGUACGUAACCGCAAGGAUCGUCCUAGGGUAAAACUGGUGACUG